GUGACCGUUGUCUAACUUUAACCGGGUCGUCAGAGAGAAAUAAUCCAAGACUUGUUUAUUAUCAUCCAUAGGAAUUUGGGGAAGCAGCUGAAGCUUUCUGCAGGAAGCAUGACAACUGACACUACUCUGAUUUGUGAACAAUCUAAGAGGAGGAAACGGAUACCAGCAGGUGAUGAAAUCAGCAACAGUGAGUGGACAGAUGAUUGGAGCAGAUGAAGACUGACAAGAAGCAUCAGAAACGUCCACCCACUGGUGGUGAAGCUGCAGGAGGAAAACCACCAGCUCCUCUUUUCCAACCCUUAAUGAACCGCUGAGGUCCAGCCCCAGUCAAUCUUGAACAGGAAGUCCACGCUGAUGCUGAAAGACUCAGACUGGAGGUGGUAAAUGAGCAUCAAUGCUGAAGAUUUUCACAAUAAAAGAGCCAGACUCAAAUGGUAAAUUAAAGGGAUAGGCAACCCUGGUC
This is a long non-coding RNA of Oryzias melastigma (Indian medaka), 463 nucleotides long. RefSeq lists it as uncharacterized. NCBI's taxonomy places the organism in Eukaryota, Metazoa, Chordata, Actinopteri, Beloniformes, Adrianichthyidae. The transcript is spliced from 2 exons. The record is from RefSeq and is a predicted model, not a curated record.